GUAGUCAUAUGCUUGUCUCAAAGAUUAAGCCAUGCAUGUCUAAGUAUAAGCAAUUAUACCGUGAAACUGCGAACGGCUCAUUAAAUCAGUUAUCGUUUAUUUGAUAGUACCUUACUACUUGGAUAACCGUGGUAAUUCUAGAGCUAAUACAUGCUGAAAACCCCAACUUCGGAAGGGGCGUAUUUAUUAGAUAAAAAACCAAUGCCCUUCGGGGCUCCUUGGUGAUUCAUAACAACUUCUCAGAUCGCAUGGCCUUGCGCCGGCGACGGUUCAUUCAAAUUUCUGCCCUAUCAACUUUCGAUGGUAAGGUACUGGCUUACCAUGGUUUCAACGGGUAACGGGGAAUUAGGGUUCGAUUCCGGAGAGGGAGCCUGAGAAACGGCUACCACAUCCAAGGAAGGCAGCAGGCGCGCAAAUUACCCAAUCCCGACACGGGGAGGUAGUGACAAUAAAUACUGAUACAGGGCUCUUUUGGGUCUUGUAAUUGGAAUGAGUACAAUUUAAACCUCUUAACGAGGAACAAUUGGGGGGCAAGUCUGGUGCCAGCAGCC
Molecule: ribosomal RNA, 551 nt
Filed under: uncultured eukaryote
Lineage: Eukaryota
Description: SSU rRNA
Rfam family: Eukaryotic small subunit ribosomal RNA
Source: RNAcentral